UAGUAUUUUGACUAUACAAAGGUAUUGUAAUAAGACUUUAAUUGAGUGCUAAAAGAAUGGAAUUACAAAAAAAGGCUUUUUUAAUUUUAAAAAUUAAAAUUAUUUUUUUUUGUGAAGAAACAAAAAUUUAAAUUAAAGACAAGAAGACCCUAAGAAUUUUUUUUUUUAUUAAAAUAAUAUUUUAUUUUAAAAAUUUAAUUGGGGCGAUUAAUGAAUAUUAAAAACUUUAUAAAGAAAUAAAAUGAUCCAUUAUUAAUGAUUAUUUGAUUAAAAUACUCUAGGGAUAACAGCGUAAUAAUUUUUGAUAGUUCUUAUAGAAAAAAUAGUUUGCGACCUCGAUGUUGGAUUAGGAUUCUUUUUUAAUGAAGAAGUUAAAAAAAGAAGUUUGUUCAACUUUUAAUUUCCU
RNAcentral lists this ribosomal RNA (406 nucleotides) under Amblyomma dissimile (iguana tick). Its description in RNAcentral is "partial large subunit ribosomal RNA". Lineage: Eukaryota; Metazoa; Arthropoda; Arachnida; Ixodida; Ixodidae. The record is from RNAcentral.